CGCUGACAUGAUAGAUUAAAUAUAUAUCAAUGCAUUUCAAGUUAUAUGAGCAAUCCGACUGUCAUAUUUUUGUACUGAAAAAUGAUUAUUAAAUGCUGGCUUUUUCUAUGCGUUGAAUUGAAAAAUGAAAAGACUUGAAACGUUUACUGACUGCGAAAGUCGAGAAAAUAUAAGCAUGGGUUUAAAACGGGAUAGAGUGAGAACGGAUAAGACACUACAUGAUGAGAAUGGAUAAAACGGGAUAUAGUGAGAAUGGAUAAGACACUAUAUGAUGAGAAUGGAUAAGCUUUUAAGACGGGAUAGAGUGCGUGAGAAUGGAUAAGAUGGGAUAGAGUGCAUGAGAAUGCAUAAGACGAUAAUGGAUGAAAAUUGAUAAAACGUGAUAUAGUGAGAAUGGAUAAGGCACUACAGGAUGAGAAUGGAUUAGGAGAGAUAGGAUGAGAACGGAUAAAACACUAUAGAAUGAAAUUGGAUAAGACGAUAUAGAUGGAGAAAGGAUAAGACACUAUAUACUAGGAUAAGAAUGGAUAAGACGAGAUAGGAUGUGAAUGGAUAAGACGAGAUAGGAUGAGAAUUGAUAAGACGAAAUAUGUUUAGAAUGGAUAAAACGAUAAAGGAUGAGCGUUGAUAAACGUGAUAGAGUGAGAAUGGAUAAGGCGAGAUGGGAUGAGAAUGGAUAAGACACUGUAGGGUGAGAAUGGAUAAGACGAGAUAGGAUGAGAAUGGAUAAAACGAGAUAGGUCGAGAACGGAUAAAACGAGAUACGACGAAAAUGGAUAAGACGAGAACGGAUAAAACGAGAUACGACGAAAAUGGACAAGACGAAAACGGAUAAAACGAGAUACGAAUAAAAUGUAUAAGACGAGAAAGGAUGAUAAUGAAUAAGACGAGAUAGGAUGAGAAUGGAUAAGACGAGAAAAGACGAGAUCGGAUAAAACGAGAAAGAACGAGAACGGAUAAAACGAGAUACGACGAAAAUGGAUAAAACGACAGAGGAUGAGAAUGGAUAAGACGAGAUAGGAUGAGAAUGGAUAAAACGAGAAAGGGCGAGAAAGGAUAAAACGAGAUACGACGAAAAUGGAUAAAACGAGAGAGGAUGAGAAUGGAUAAGACGAGAUAGGAUGAGAAUGGAUAAAAGGAGAACGGAUAAAACGAGAUAGGAAAAGAACGGAUAAAACGAGUUACGACGAAAAUGGAUAAGACCAGAUGGAGGAUAAUGAAUAAGACGAGAUAGAAUUAGAAGGAAUAAAACGAGAGAGGAUGAGAAUGAAUAAAACGAAAAAGGUUGAGAAUGGAUAAAACUAAAAAGGUUGAGAAUGUAUAAGACCAGACGGAGGAUGAUAGAUAAGACGAUAUAGGAUAUAAAAUAAUGGAUGAGGCGAGAUAUGUUAAGAAUGGAUAAGACCAGAGAGGAUGAGAACGAACAAAACGAGAGAGAAUGAGAAUUGAUAUGGCGAUAUAGGAUGAGAUAGAUAAGACACCAUAAGAUGUGAAUGGAUAAGACGAGAGAGAAUGAGAAUGGAUAAGACGGGAAAGAAUGAGAAUGAAAAAAUGGGAUGAGCAUGGAUAGGACCAGAUAGGAUGAGAAUGAUAAUGAAUAAGACGAGAUAGGGUGAGAAUGAAUAAGACAAUAAAGGAUGGCAAUCGAUAACACGUGAUAGAGUGAUAAUGAAUGAGAAUGAAUAAGCGAGAUAGGAUGGGAAUCAAUAAAACAAGAUAGGAUGGGAAUCAAUAAAAAAAGAUAGGAUGGGAAUCAAUAAAACAAGAUAGGAUGGGAAUCAAUAAAAAAGA
Molecule: long non-coding RNA, 1791 nt
Filed under: Mytilus galloprovincialis (Mediterranean mussel)
Lineage: Eukaryota; Metazoa; Mollusca; Bivalvia; Mytilida; Mytilidae
Source: RNAcentral